RNAcentral lists this ribosomal RNA (785 nucleotides) under Clephydroneura sp. RNAcentral describes it as "12S ribosomal RNA". Lineage: Eukaryota; Metazoa; Arthropoda; Insecta; Diptera; Asilidae. The record is from RNAcentral.
UUUUGGCUUAUUAUUUGCUUUUAUUUUAUUUUAUAUGUAAAUUUUUGUGUGAAUAAUUUUAUUUCUUGAUGGAUAAUAAUUUUUAUUUAUUUGCAGUAAUUAGGUUUGUAUUUUAAAUUAUUUUAGAAACAGUAAAAUUAUGUAGUACUGGCUAAAUUUGUGCCAGCAGCCGCGGUUAUACAGUGAGUACAAGUAAAUUUUUUUUCAGUUUGAAUUAAGUUGUUAUUGUAUUGAAUAUGUGUAUAUGGUUUUUUUAGGUGAAAUUUUAAAACCUAAUUUUGUUGGGGGUUAUUUGCUGAUUUUUUAAAUUUUAUAUUUAAACUAGGAUUAGAUACCCUAUUAUUUUAUUAUUUAAAUAUUAUUUAUGCUUAGGUAGUAGUAGUUAUGGUCUUGAAACUUAAAAAAUUUGGCGGUACUUUAGUCUAUUUAGAGGAACCUGUUAUGUAAUCGAUAAUCCACGUUGGAUCUUUCUUAGCUUAGUUUUUCAGUUUGUAUACCGCCGUUAUUGAUUAUUUUAUUAGAAUAAUAAUGUUCAGUAUUUUUUAGUUAAAUUUAGUAUCAGGUCAAGGUGCAGUUUAUGGCUAAGAGAUAUAUGGGUUACAAUAAAUUUAUUUAUACGGAUGAUAGAAUUAAAUUUUUAUUUGAAGGUGGAUUUAAUAGUAAAUUUGUUCAGAGAGUCAUUUUGAAUUUAGCUCUAGAGUGUGUACACAUCGCCCGUCACUCUUACUAUUAAGGUAAGAUAAGUCGUAACACAGUAGGUGUACCGGAAGGUGUAUCUAGAAAAU